This 495-nucleotide ribosomal RNA is filed under the name uncultured bacterium. RNAcentral's name for it is "partial 16S ribosomal RNA". It matches the Rfam family "Bacterial small subunit ribosomal RNA", at positions 28 to 507 of the family's 1533-position model. The record is from RNAcentral.
GACGAACGCUGGCGGCGUGCCUAAUACAUGCAAGUAGAACGCUGAAGGAGGAGCUUGCUCUUCUGGAUGAGUUGCGAACGGGUGAGUAACGCGUAGGUAACCUGCCUGGUAGCGGGGGAUAACUAUUGGAAACGGUAGCUAAUACCGCAUAACAGUAGAUGUUGCAUGACAUUUGCUUAAAAGGUGCAAUUGCACCACUACCAGAUGGACCUGCGUUGUAUUAGCUAGUUGGUGGGGUAACGGCUCACCAAGGCGACGAUACAUAGCCGACCUGAGAGGGGGAUCGGCCACACUGGGACUGAGACACGGCCCAGACUCCUACGGGAGGCAGCAGUAGGGAAUCUUCGGCAAUGGACGGAAGUCUGACCGAGCAACGCCGCGUGAGUGAAGAAGGUUUUCGGAUCGUAAAGCUCUGUUGUAAGAGAAGAACGAGUGUGAGAGUGGAAAGUUCACACUGUGACGGUAGCUUACCAGAAAGGGACGGCUAACUACGUG